RNAcentral lists this ribosomal RNA (492 nucleotides) under uncultured bacterium. RNAcentral's name for it is "partial 16S ribosomal RNA". It matches the Rfam family "Bacterial small subunit ribosomal RNA", at positions 29 to 507 of the family's 1533-position model. The record is from RNAcentral.
AGUGAACGCUGGCGGUAGGCCUAACACAUGCAAGUCGAACGGCAGCACAGUAAGAGCUUGCUCUUACGGGUGGCGAGUGGCGGACGGGUGAGGAAUACAUCGGAAUCUACUUUUUCGUGGGGGAUAACGUAGGGAAACUUACGCUAAUACCGCAUACGACCUACGGGUGAAAGCAGGGGAUCUUCGGACCUUGCGCGAUUGAAUGAGCCGAUGUCGGAUUAGCUAGUUGGCGGGGUAAAGGCCCACCAAGGCGACGAUCCGUAGCUGGUCUGAGAGGAUGAUCAGCCACACUGGAACUGAGACACGGUCCAGACUCCUACGGGAGGCAGCAGUGGGGAAUAUUGGACAAUGGGCGCAAGCCUGAUCCAGCCAUACCGCGUGGGUGAAGAAGGCCUUCGGGCUGUAAAGCCCUUUUGUUGGGAAAGAAAAGCAGCAGGUUAAUACCCCGCUGUUCUGACGGUACCCAAAGAAUAAGCACCGGUUAACUUCGUG